GAUGAACGCUGGCGGCGUGCCUAAUACAUGCAAGUCGAGCGAACGGACGAGAAGCUUGCUUCUCUGAUGUUAGCGGCGGACGGGUGAGUAACACGUGGAUAACCUACCUAUAAGACUGGGAUAACUUCGGGAAACCGGAGCUAAUACCGGAUAAUAUUUUGAACCGCAUGGUUCAAAAGUGAAAGACGGUCUUGCUGUCACUUAUAGAUGGAUCCGCGCUGCAUUAGCUAGUUGGUAAGGUAACGGCUUACCAAGGCAACGAUGCAUAGCCGACCUGAGAGGGUGAUCGGCCACACUGGAACUGAGACACGGUCCAGACUCCUACGGGAGGCAGCAGUAGGGAAUAUUCCGCAAUGGGCGAAAGCCUGACGGAGCCACGCCGCGUGAGUGAUGAAGGUCUUCGGAUCGUAAAACUCUGUUAUUAGGGAAGAACAUAUGUGUAAGUAACUGUGCACAUCUUGACGGUACCUAAUCAGAAAGCCACGGCUAACUACGUG
RNAcentral lists this ribosomal RNA (497 nucleotides) under uncultured bacterium. RNAcentral describes it as "partial 16S ribosomal RNA". It matches the Rfam family "Bacterial small subunit ribosomal RNA", at positions 28 to 507 of the family's 1533-position model. The record is from RNAcentral.